UACGUAGGGGGCAAGCGUUGUCCGGAUUUAUUGGGCGUAAAGAGCGUGUAGGCGGCCGUACAGGUCAGCUGUGAAAACUCGAGGCUCAACCUCGAGACGUCGGUUGAAACCGUACGGCUAGAGUCCGGAAGAGGAGAGUGGAAUUCCCGGUGUAGCGGUGAAAUGCGCAGAUAUCGGGAAGAACACCCGUGGCGAAGGCGGCUCUCUGGGACGGUACUGACGCUGAGACGCGAAAGCGUGGGGAGCAAACGGG
Molecule: ribosomal RNA, 253 nt
Filed under: uncultured bacterium
Lineage: Bacteria
Description: partial 16S ribosomal RNA
Rfam family: Bacterial small subunit ribosomal RNA
Source: RNAcentral